AUAUAUAUCUACUUGAAAGAUCAUCUUCAUCUACUAAGAAUGGACAUACCAAUUUAAAUCUUUAGUAUUGAUGAUAAAAAAUACUAUAUACUUAACAAUACUAGAUGAUUUUGUUUGUACGUAGUUAGUAGUAGUUGGUUACUUGGUUUUGUUUUUCAAUUCUCGAUAUAUAGGAAAAGGACAUAGUACAAAAAUGAAGGAAGUUUUGUGAAUUUUAAUUCGAACAAGUGUGUAAAAAAAAUAAGUUGUUUCUUGAAUUGAUAGUGAAGGUUUAUUUAAAUUGUUUUGCAUUGAUUCAAUUUUAUGCAAAUUUCCCUUUGUAAACUGUAAUCCAAACACACACUAAGCAGAUUCUAUUUUGGCAGGUAAGCUUCCUUUACCACUUCAAAAAAGUGUGACUUGCUAUAUGUUAAUACCUUUAGUUCUCCUAAUGCAGAUUGGUUUUUCUGGUUACUUGAGUUGCUUUUAAGGCCGUGGCUUCUUCUUGGAGUCCAAAGCAUGAGAAGAUGCAGAAGAACUUGAGUACAAAGUUAGCUGUGGCAAUAAGAAGUGUUCAAUGGAGUUAUGACAUUUUAUGUUCACCUUCAACAACCCAAGAUGGGUAAUCAAUUUAAAAACAAAAACUUUUUAGAAUACAAAAAACAAUGCCACUUUUCUCUCAUGAUAUGAAGUUUCUAUUUUGGUAAUUUUGAUUCUUUUGAGUCUUGUGUAUAUGAUGAUCAUUGUGUUCCGUUAGUUUCAUGAAUAGGUUGUCUUGUCAGAACUUUUUGAGACAUACAUAAGGCUUUCGUUACGCAGAAAAAAAAACAUGUUAUUCAUACUUCAUUUAGUUUAUGACUUCAUCAGCCUUUAAGAAUUAGCAUGUAAGUACUUCUGUCUUGGAUCCAACUUUCUGCCCUGUUUUAUGUAAUUAAACUUUCAGUGAGUUACACCAUUGAUGAUAGCAAGGCCCCUAUAUUUGAUUUGUUAUUAUAAUCUAUUUAAUCUUUCUUUA
This is a non-coding RNA of Arachis ipaensis, 994 nucleotides long. NCBI's taxonomy places the organism in Eukaryota, Viridiplantae, Streptophyta, Magnoliopsida, Fabales, Fabaceae. The record is from RefSeq and is a predicted model, not a curated record.